CAAUAGCGUAUAUUUAAGUUGUUGCAGUUAAAAAGCUCGUAGUUGGAUUUCGGAUGGGACUUGCCGGUCCGUCGUUUCGAUGUGCACUGGCCAGUCCUAUCUUGUUGUCGGGGACUAGCUCCUGGGCUUCACUGUCCGGGACUAGGAGCUGACGAGGUUACUUUGAGUAAAUUAGAGUGUUCAAAGCAAGCCUACGCUCUGAAUACAUUAGCAUGGAAUAACACGAUAGGACUCUGGCUUAUCUUGUUGGUCUGUGAGACCAGAGUAAUGAUUAAGAGGGACAGUCGGGGGCAUUCGUAUUUCAUUGUCAGAGGUGAAAUUCUUGGAUUUAUGAAAGACGAACUUCUGCGAAAGCAUUUGUCAGGGAUGUUUUCAUUAA
This 379-nucleotide ribosomal RNA is filed under the name uncultured eukaryote. RNAcentral's name for it is "partial 18S ribosomal RNA". It matches the Rfam family "Eukaryotic small subunit ribosomal RNA", at positions 592 to 976 of the family's 1831-position model. The record is from RNAcentral.